Molecule: ribosomal RNA, 253 nt
Filed under: uncultured bacterium
Lineage: Bacteria
Description: partial 16S ribosomal RNA
Rfam family: Bacterial small subunit ribosomal RNA
Source: RNAcentral
UACGAAGGGUGCAAGCGUUACUCGGAAUUACUGGGCGUAAAGCGUGCGUAGGUGGUUUGUUAAGUCUGUUGUGAAAGCCCCGGGCUCAACCUUUGAAUGUCAGUGGAUACUGCCGGGCUAGAGUCCGGAAGAGGCGAGUGGAACUCCUGGUGUAGCGGUGGAAUGCGCAGAUAUCAGGAAGAACACCAACGGCGAAGGCAGCUCGCUGGGACGGUACUGACGCUGAGACGCGAAAGCGUGGGGAGCGAACAGG